Molecule: ribosomal RNA, 373 nt
Filed under: uncultured eukaryote
Lineage: Eukaryota
Description: partial 18S ribosomal RNA
Rfam family: Eukaryotic small subunit ribosomal RNA
Source: RNAcentral
UAAUAGUGUAUAUUAAAGUUGUUGCAGUUAAAAAGCUCGUAGUUGAAUGUUGGUGUCGAACGAGCGGUCAGCUUCGGCUGUACUGCUCUCUCGACUCCUUCCUUCUGUGGACUACGUCGCACUUUACUGUGUGGCGCUAGGACGCAGAUCGUUUACUGUGAAAAAAUUAGAGUGUUCAAAGCAGGCCGUACGCUUGAAUACAUUAGCAUGGAAUAAUGGAAUAGGACGUCGGGCCUAUUUUGUUGGUUCUAGGACCGUCGUAAUGAUUAAUAGGGGCAGUUGGGGCCGUUUAUAUUCCGUAGUCAGAGGUGAAAUUCUUGGAUUUACGGAAGAUAAACUACUGCGAAAGCAUUCGGCAAGGAUGUUUUCGUUA